This 247-nucleotide ribosomal RNA is filed under the name uncultured bacterium. RNAcentral describes it as "partial 16S ribosomal RNA". It matches the Rfam family "Bacterial small subunit ribosomal RNA", at positions 523 to 769 of the family's 1533-position model. The record is from RNAcentral.
AGACGUAGGGGGCAAGCGUUGUCCGGAAUUACUGGGUGUAAAGGGUGCGUAGGCGGCAAUGCAAGUCUAAUGUGAAAUCCCCGUGCUUAACAUGGGGAUUGCAAUAGAAACUGUAUAGCUAGAGUGCAGGAGAGGUAAGUGGAAUUCCGAGUGUAGAGGUGAAAUUCGUAGAUAUUCGGAGGAACACCAGUGGCGAAGGCGGCUUACUGGUCCAUUACUGACGCUGAGGUGCGAAAGCGUGGGGAGC